AUCAUAAAGAUACGACAGAUUGUUAAAGGAAACUCCGGCUGUUUUACCCGCUAUUAUAACAACGUUUUCUAAACGAGAUUUCUUAACCAGAGAUAAGGAGCCGAACCAACAUUGGCACAAAAAAGUUUUAAAACAAAUUAAAACGGUUUCAACGAAACAAUGAUAAGAAAGGGAUAAUACACGUUCAGUAACGUCAAUAGUUCCCAACUUGCGCAGGUAUGUAGGCUGAUUGUGGGGCUGAUAGGUAGGCUGAUUGUGAGGCUGAUAGGUAGGCUGAUUGUUGGGCUGAUAGGUAGGCUGAUUGUGAGGCUGAUAGGUAGGUUGAUUGUGGGGCUGAUAUGUAGGCUGAUUGUGAGGCUGAUAGGUAGGCUGAUUGUGAGGCUGAUAGGUAGACUGAUUGUGAGGCUGAUAGGUAGGCUGAUUGUGAGGCUGAUAGGUAGGCUGAUUGUGGGGCUGAUAGGUAGGCUGAUUGUGAGGCUGAUAGGUAGGCUGAUUGUGGGGCUGAUAUGUAGGCUGAUUGUGGGGCUGAUAGGUAGGCUGAUUGUGAGGCUGAUAGGUAGACUGAUUGUGAGGCUAAUAGGUAGGCUGAUUGUGGGGCUGAUAGGUAGGCUGAUUGUGGGGCUGAUAGGUAGGCUGAUAAUGAGG
Long non-coding RNA from Haliotis rubra (blacklip abalone), 645 nucleotides. RefSeq lists it as uncharacterized. The transcript is spliced from 5 exons. Lineage: Eukaryota; Metazoa; Mollusca; Gastropoda; Lepetellida; Haliotidae. The record is from RefSeq and is a predicted model, not a curated record.